GGAUACAGACGAGAGGCUCUCUACCGUCUGGAAAGUUUUUCGGUCUGGGAUGGACUCGCGGCCUAUCAGCUAGUUGGUGAGGUAAUGGCUCACCAAGGCGACGACGGGUAGCCGGCCUGAGAGGGCGACCGGCCACACUGGGACUGAGACACGGCCCAGACUCCUACGGGAGGCAGCAGUGGGGAAUAUUGCACAAUGGGCGAAAGCCUGAUGCAGCGACGCCGCGUGAGGGAUGAAGGCCUUCGGGUUGUAAACCUCUUUCAGCA
RNAcentral lists this ribosomal RNA (266 nucleotides) under uncultured Actinomycetes bacterium. RNAcentral describes it as "uncultured actinobacterium partial 16S rRNA". It matches the Rfam family "Bacterial small subunit ribosomal RNA", at positions 173 to 441 of the family's 1533-position model. The record is from RNAcentral. Lineage: Bacteria; Bacillati; Actinomycetota; Actinomycetes.